This 73-nucleotide transfer RNA is filed under the name Ictidomys tridecemlineatus (thirteen-lined ground squirrel). Its description in RNAcentral is "Spermophilus tridecemlineatus (thirteen-lined ground squirrel) tRNA". It matches the Rfam family "tRNA". From Rfam's summary of the family: Transfer RNA (tRNA) molecules are approximately 80 nucleotides in length. The record is from Rfam by way of RNAcentral. Lineage: Eukaryota; Metazoa; Chordata; Mammalia; Rodentia; Sciuridae.
UGUGAUAUUGCUCAGUUGGUAGAGUGCUUGCCUUGCAUGCACAAGGCCCUGGGUUCAAUCCCCAGCACCACAC